Molecule: ribosomal RNA, 497 nt
Filed under: uncultured bacterium
Lineage: Bacteria
Description: partial 16S ribosomal RNA
Rfam family: Bacterial small subunit ribosomal RNA
Source: RNAcentral
GAUGAACGCUGGCGGCGUGCCUAAUACAUGCAAGUCGAGCGAACAGACGAGGAGCUUGCUCCUCUGACGUUAGCGGCGGACGGGUGAGUAACACGUGGAUAACCUACCUAUAAGACUGGGAUAACUUCGGGAAACCAGAGCUAAUACCGGAUAACAUGUUGAACCGCAUGGUUCAACAGUGAAAGACGGUUUUGCUGUCACUUAUAGAUGGAUCCGCGCCGCAUUAGCUAGUUGGUAAGGUAACGGCUUACCAAGGCAACGAUGCGUAGCCGACCUGAGAGGGUGAUCGGCCACACUGGAACUGAGACACGGUCCAGACUCCUACGGGAGGCAGCAGUAGGGAAUCUUCCGCAAUGGGCGAAAGCCUGACGGAGCAACGCCGCGUGAGUGAAGAAGGUCUUCGGAUCGUAAAACUCUGUUAUUAGGGAAGAACAAAUGUGUAAGUAACUAUGCACGUCUUGACGGUACCUAAUCAGAAAGCCACGGCUAACUACGUG